RNAcentral lists this ribosomal RNA (493 nucleotides) under uncultured bacterium. RNAcentral describes it as "partial 16S ribosomal RNA". It matches the Rfam family "Bacterial small subunit ribosomal RNA", at positions 30 to 507 of the family's 1533-position model. The record is from RNAcentral.
AUUGAACGCUGGCGGCAUGCUUUACACAUGCAAGUCGAACGGUAGCGCGGAGAAGCUUGCUUCUCUGUCGGCGAGUGGCGAACGGGUGAGUAUAGCAUCGGAACGUGCCAAGUAGUGGGGGAUAACCAAACGAAAGUUUGGCUAAUACCGCGUAAGCUCUAAGGAGGAAAGUAGGGGACCUAAAUAAGGCCUUACGCUAUUUGAUCGGCCGAUGUCGGAUUAGCUAGUUGGUGGGGUAAUGGCUCACCAAGGCAAUGAUCCGUAGCGGGUCUGAGAGGACGAUCCGCCACACUGGGACUGAGACACGGCCCAGACUCCUACGGGAGGCAGCAGUGGGGAAUUUUGGACAAUGGGGGAAACCCUGAUCCAGCCAUGCCGCGUGUAUGAAGAAGGCCUUAGGGUUGUAAAGUACUUUUGUUAGGGAAGAAAAGCUAGUUUUUAAUAAAAAGUAGUGAUGACGGUACCUAAAGAAUAAGCACCGGCUAACUACGUG